GGUUUAAUUCGAUGAUACGCGAGGAACCUUACCCGGGCUUGAAUUGCAGGAGAACGAUACAGAGAUGUUGAGGUCCUUCGGGACUCCUGUGAAGGUGCUGCAUGGUUGUCGUCAGCUCGUGCCGUGAGGUGUCGGCUUAAGUGCCAUAACGAGCGCAACCCCUCUCCGUAGUUGCCAUCAGGUGAUGCUGGGCACUCUGCGGACACUGCCGCCGUAAGGUGUGA
This 224-nucleotide ribosomal RNA is filed under the name uncultured bacterium. RNAcentral's name for it is "partial 16S ribosomal RNA". It matches the Rfam family "Bacterial small subunit ribosomal RNA", at positions 943 to 1167 of the family's 1533-position model. The record is from RNAcentral.